AUUGAACGCUGGCGGCAGGCCUAACACAUGCAAGUCGAACGGUAACAGGAAACAGCUUGCUGUUUCGCUGACGAGUGGCGGACGGGUGAGUAAUGUCUGGGAAACUGCCUGAUGGAGGGGGAUAACUACUGGAAACGGUAGCUAAUACCGCAUAACGUCGCAAGACCAAAGAGGGGGACCCUCGGGCCUCUUGCCAUCGGAUGUGCCCAGAUGGGAUUAGCUUGUUGGUGGGGUAACGGCUCACCAAGGCGACGAUCCCUAGCUGGUCUGAGAGGAUGACCAUCCACACUGGAACUGAGACACGGUCCAGACUCCUACGGGAGGCAGCAGUGGGGAAUAUUGCACAAUGGGCGCAAGCCUGAUGCAGCCAUGCCGCGUGUAUGAAGAAGGCCUUCGGGUUGUAAAGUACGUUCAGCGGGGAGGAAGGGAGUAAAGUUAAUACCUUUGCUCAUUGACGUUACCCGCAGAAGAAGCACCGGCUAACUCCGUG
This 490-nucleotide ribosomal RNA is filed under the name uncultured bacterium. RNAcentral describes it as "partial 16S ribosomal RNA". It matches the Rfam family "Bacterial small subunit ribosomal RNA", at positions 30 to 507 of the family's 1533-position model. The record is from RNAcentral.